Molecule: ribosomal RNA, 434 nt
Filed under: uncultured Lachnospiraceae bacterium
Lineage: Bacteria; Bacillati; Bacillota; Clostridia; Lachnospirales; Lachnospiraceae
Description: partial 16S ribosomal RNA
Rfam family: Bacterial small subunit ribosomal RNA
Source: RNAcentral
ACGGGAGGCAGCAGUGGGGAAUAUUGGACAAUGGGGGAAACCCUGAUCCAGCGACGCCGCGUGAGUGAAGAAGUAUUUCGGUAUGUAAAGCUCUAUCAGCAGGGAAGAUAAUGACGGUACCUGACUAAGAAGCCCCGGCUAACUACGUGCCAGCAGCCGCGGUAAUACGUAGGGGGCAAGCGUUAUCCGGAUUUACUGGGUGUAAAGGGAGCGUAGACGGAAGGCCAAGUCUGAUGUGAAAACCCAGGGCUCAACCCUGGGACUGCAUUGGAAACUGGUCAUCUAGAGUGCAGGAGGGGUAAGUGGAAUUCCCAGUGUAGCGGUGAAAUGCGUAGAUAUUGGGAGGAACACCGGAGGCGAAGGCGGCUCACUGGACGAUUACUGACGUUGAGGCUCGAAAGCGUGGGGAGCAAACAGGAUUAGAUACCCUGGUA